This 205-nucleotide long non-coding RNA is filed under the name Solanum tuberosum (potato). RNAcentral describes it as "long non-coding RNA (STUB_LNC008787)". Lineage: Eukaryota; Viridiplantae; Streptophyta; Magnoliopsida; Solanales; Solanaceae. The record is from RNAcentral.
AAAUCUGGAAAUUUGGCUAAGUGUGGAAAUCAGUGAGUUUUUGGCCAACUUUGAGCAGUCAUAACUCCUAGCUCAGGAUGAGUUAGGAGUAGUUCCAGUUAUGGUUUCGAAGCUUGUGGAACGAUCUUUCCAACGCCGCCGAGUUUGCUCGAUUCCGAGUUCGUAUGAGCGAGUUAUGAUCUUUGAAAGUUGGGCAGUUGGCAGG